UGCAGUGUAUGGAGCUAAUCGCUAGAGAGAAAGUGACGACUCGUACGGGUUUGAAAAACGCCACACUCGACCUAUCACUACUAAUGGAAGCAUCUGAAUUGUAUAAACAAGGUUCAACGAAAUUUACUCUACUACGUAUGUCCACUGGAGCAUAAUCGAUAUCAAGACCAUUGACAUGACCUGAAUGUGAAUAAGACAUUGACCUCGCCCUGGACUUUCAUCACCUAAAGCUUUGUGUAAUUGAUCCAAAAGGAAUCGCCCAAAACGACAAGUCAUGGGACAAUUGUGUCCUGUUGCAAGAUUGGACCCGUUUGACCUUGACCUUGACCUUGGUUUGUUUGGAGCCUAAUCCCUCAGGUGGGACUCUCGAGCGGGUUGCUUUAUCCUGGAAUGGCUCCCAGGGAUCAAGGCUAAUCUGGAAGCUUUCCGGCGAUUGGAAGCAAUCCGACAAAUGUGCGAGGACAUUCUGGGGCGAGUGUCCGCAUUUGGGACACCAUUGGAUGGAUUGAAGCGGUAGGUUGAGUUGGAUCCAGGAUGAGGGUGGGACAUCGCCAUCGAGUGGAGCCAAGGAGUCCGGGUCAUCGCCAUCGAGUGGAGCCAAGGAGUCCGGGUCAUCGCCAUCGAGUGGAGCCAAGGAGUCCGGGUCAUCGCCAUCGUUGUCCAUUACCUUUCAUACCUUUAUCGUCGAGAAAUCUGUCAUGGGAAUUUUUGGGACUUUCCCGUCCUUUCAAUCUAGUUUGUUUU
This is a long non-coding RNA of Tigriopus californicus, 744 nucleotides long. RefSeq lists it as uncharacterized. NCBI's taxonomy places the organism in Eukaryota, Metazoa, Arthropoda, Copepoda, Harpacticoida, Harpacticidae. The record is from RefSeq and is a predicted model, not a curated record. The transcript has 2 exons.